GAACGCUGGCGGCAUGCCUAACACAUGCAAGUCGAACGAACCCUUCGGGGUUAGUGGCGCACGGGUGCGUAACGCGUGGGAAUCUGCCCUUAGGGUUCGGAAUAACAGUUAGAAAUGACUGCUAAUACCGGAUGAUGUCUUCGGACCAAAGAUUUAUCGCCCAGGGAUGAGCCCGCGUAGGAUUAGGUAGUUGUGGGGUAAAGGCCUACCAAGCCGACGAUCCUUAGCUGGUCUGAGAGGAUGAUCAGCCACACUGGGACUGAGACACGGCCCAGACUCCUACGGGAGGCAGCAGUGGGGAAUAUUGGACAAUGGGCGCAAGCCUGAUCCAGCAAUGCCGCGUGAGUGAUGAAGGCCUUCGGGUCGUAAAGCUCUUUUACCCGGGAUGAUAAUGACAGUACCGGGAGAAUAAGCUCCGGCUAACUCCGUG
This 430-nucleotide ribosomal RNA is filed under the name uncultured bacterium. RNAcentral describes it as "bacterial SSU rRNA". It matches the Rfam family "Bacterial small subunit ribosomal RNA", at positions 31 to 507 of the family's 1533-position model. The record is from RNAcentral.